CCUCUCUGCUGCUGACUUCAAGUACAACUCUGAGUCAUGCCACACGCAGAAGUUUUCUGAUUAUACUGCAACAGUGGGGUGUAUUAGGGAUAGACAGGAGGAUGAGUACAGGAGCCUGGUGGAGGACUUUGGGAAAUGGUGCAGAACAAACCACCUGCAGCUGAAUGUCACCAAGACCAAAGAGAUGGUUGUGGACUUUAGGAGGUCCACCCCGCCUCUGCUACCAGUCACCACUGCAGGGAUUAAUGUGGUAGGUAGUCAGGACCUAAAAAUAUCUGGGGCUGUAUCGGGACAAUAAACUGGACUGGUCAGCAAACACAGAGCACUCUACAGGAAGGGCCAGAGCUGGCUCUAUUUCCUCGGGAGGCUAUAGGGUCCUUUAACAUCUGUAGAAAACUCCUGAUGUUUUACCAGUCUGUCAUGGCCAGUGUCCUAUGCUGUGGUGUGCUGGGGAGGCACAACUAGGAAGAGUGCAGGGCGACUGGUCAGGCUAGUGAGGAAGGCUGGCUCUGUUGUUUGCUUUGAGCUGGAGUCCCUGACAUCAGUGGCAGAAAAGGGGACCCUGAACAAGCUGCUGUCAAUAAUGGACUGUGACUAACACCCCCUUCACAGCACUUUAACUGGACAGAGGAGUAUGUUCAGUGGCAGACGUCUGUCACUGUCAUGCUCAAUGGACAGUGUUUGCAGUCGGAGCGAGAAAUGUCUGGUACAAACAUAGUGGAGACGGAGAGGUGACCAAGAAACAUCCGGAGAGGAGAAAGGACCCGCGGACAUCGGUGUGGUUUUCAAACGGCGGAGGGACAGACGGAGAACACUGGUGGAGGGACAGACGGAGAACACCGGCGGAGGGAUAUACGGAACCCGGCGGAGGACUGGAGAGUGAAGGCGGACGCUGAUCUGCCGAACAAACAUCCCAGAUACAAACAUGAUGUCAGCUCCAGAAACCUCCCAGCCUCUCAUCCUGUAGCCCUGCUCUGCACUCUCCUGGAUUCUUCUCUAGACCUGCCCGGCUCCAGCUCUGCUCCUACCAGUAUUUCCCCGGCCCCAACUCAUCUUCAGCCAUUUUCUCAGUUCAAUAUCCUAUCUCUAUUCCCCUUAAUAAAUGUCUUUU
Scomber japonicus (chub mackerel) is the source of this 1111-nucleotide long non-coding RNA. RefSeq lists it as uncharacterized. The record is from RefSeq and is a predicted model, not a curated record. The transcript has 3 exons. Lineage: Eukaryota; Metazoa; Chordata; Actinopteri; Scombriformes; Scombridae.